AGAGCCUGAAUCAGCAUGUGUGUUAGUGGAAGCGUCUGGAAAGGCGCGCGAUACAGGGUGACAGCCCCGUACACAAAAGCGCAUGUGCUGUGAGCUCGAUGAGUAGGGCGGGACACGUGGUAUCCUGUCUGAAUAUGGGGGGACCAUCCUCCAAGGCUAAAUACUCCUGACUGACCGAUAGUGAACCAGUACCGUGAGGGAAAGGCGAAAAGAACCCCGGCGAGGGGAGUGAAAAAGAACCUGAAACCGUGUACGUACAAGCAGUGGGAGCCCCACCACCAAAGCAUUCUCUGGUGUUGAAGGCCCUGCAAAGCAGCAUCGCGGUGGCGGAGCGUCGUUUGCGACGCCCAACACACAAAACAAGCGGUGAAUGCUUUGGGGUGGGGUGACUGCGUACCUUUUGUAUAAUGGGUCAGCGACUUAUAUUCUGUAGCAAGGUUAACCGAAUAGGGGAGCCGGAGGGAAACCGAGUCUUAAUUGGGCGUUAAGUUGCAGGGUAUAGACCCGAAACCCGGUGAUCUAGCCAUGGGCAGGUUGAAGGUUGGGUAACACUAACUGGAGGACCGAACCGACUAAUGUUGAAAAAUUAGCGGAUGACCUGUGGCUGGGGGUGAAAGGCCAAUCAAACCGGGAGAUAGCUGGUUCUCCCCGAAAGCUAUUUAGGUAGCGCCUCGUGAAUUCAUCUCCGGGGGUAGAGCACUGUUUCGGCUAGGGGGCCAUCCCGGCUUACCAACCCGAUGCAAACUGCGAAUACCGGAGAAUGUUAUCACGGGAGACACACGGCGGGUGCUAACGUCCGUCGUGAAGAGGGAAACAACCCAGACCGCCAGCUAAGGUCCCAAAGUCAUGGUUAAGUGGGAAACGAUGUGGGAAGGCCCAGACAGCCAGGAUGUUGGCUUAGAAGCAGCCAUCAUUUAAAGAAAGCGUAAUAGCUCACUGGUCGAGUCGGCCUGCGCGGAAGAUGUAACGGGGCUAAACCAUGCACCGAAG
This 990-nucleotide ribosomal RNA is filed under the name Salmonella enterica subsp. enterica. RNAcentral describes it as "partial 23S ribosomal RNA". It matches the Rfam family "Bacterial large subunit ribosomal RNA", at positions 305 to 1199 of the family's 2925-position model. The record is from RNAcentral. Lineage: Bacteria; Pseudomonadati; Pseudomonadota; Gammaproteobacteria; Enterobacterales; Enterobacteriaceae.